This 253-nucleotide ribosomal RNA is filed under the name uncultured bacterium. Its description in RNAcentral is "partial 16S ribosomal RNA". It matches the Rfam family "Bacterial small subunit ribosomal RNA", at positions 524 to 776 of the family's 1533-position model. The record is from RNAcentral.
UACGUAGGGGGCGAGCGUUGUCCGGAUUUAUUGGGCGUAAAGAGCGUGUAGGCGGUUCGGUAAGUCUGUCGUGAAAUCCUGAGGCUCAACCUCGGGCGUGCGAUGGAUACUGCCGGGCUAGAGGGUGGUAGAGGAGAAUGGAAUUCCCGGUGUAGCGGUGAAAUGCGCAGAUAUCGGGAAGAACACCCGUGGCGAAGGCGGUUCUCUGGGCAUUACCUGACGCUGAGGAGCGAAAGUGUGGGGAGCGAACAGG